CCGUGGUGGGUGAUAUCAUGGAUGGCUUCAUCAUGGUAUCAUGUAUUGACAUUAGAACUUUUGCUUAUUUUUCCGAUGGUUUUGAACUCUGAACUACUUUAUGCAUUGAAACUCGAUUUGUAAUAACUAAUUUGGGACCUCUGUAAUAUUCAUUUGGAUUGUAGUAAUCUUUGGGAUCGUCUUUGUACGGGUGUUGCAUGCUUGUUUCGAUCGGAAAUACGUGGUUGUAUCGGGUGAGACCCGACAGACUACCAUUUUGAUCCAUUCGUUGAGGCGAUGUUUAGCACACUUUAACCUGGUUAAUUUGGGUGAUUCUGCCACACUAGGGUUGAUCAAGUCAUCGACUCAAUGGCUGGGUGUGCUCUACUCUAUUUCCU
RNAcentral lists this long non-coding RNA (377 nucleotides) under Setaria viridis. RNAcentral describes it as "long non-coding RNA (SVIR_LNC000579)". Lineage: Eukaryota; Viridiplantae; Streptophyta; Magnoliopsida; Poales; Poaceae. The record is from RNAcentral.